CCCUGCUUCCAGGAAAAGCCUCUAAGCCUCAGGUAACAUCAAAUCGUACCCCAAACCGACACAGGUGGUCAGGUAGAGAAUACCAAGGCGCUUGAGAGAACUCGGGUGAAGGAACUAGGCAAAAUGGUGCCGUAACUUCGGGAGAAGGCACGCUGACACGUAGGUGAAGUGGUUUACCCAUGGAGCUGAAGUCAGUCGAAGAUACCAGCUGGCUGCAACUGUUUAUUAAAAACACAGCACUGUGCAAACACGAAAGUGGACGUAUACGGUGUGACGCCUGCCCGGUGCCGGAAGGUUAAUUGAUGGGGUCAGCGCAAGCGAAGCUCCUGAUCGAAGCCCCGGUAAACGGCGGCCGUAACUAUAACGGUCCUAAGGUAGCGAAAUUCCUUGUCGGGUAAGUUCCGACCUGCACGAAUGGCGUAAUGAUGGCCAGGCUGUCUCCACCCGGGACUCAGUGAAAUUGAACUCGCUGUGAAGAUGCAGUGUACCCGCGGCAAGACGGAAAGACCCCGUGAACCUUUACUAUAGCUUGACACUGAACACUGGUCCUUGAUGUGCAGGAUAGGUGGGAGGCUUUGAAGUGUGGACGCCAGUCUGCAUGGAGCCAUCCUUGAAAUACCACCCUUUAAUGGCUGGUGUUCUAACGUGGGCCCGUGAACCGGGUUGCGGACAGUGUCUGGUGGGUAGUUUGACUGGGGCGGUCUCCUCCUAAAGAGUAACGGAGGAGCACGAAGGUUGGCUAAUCCUGGUCGGACAUCAGGAGGUUAGUGCAAUGGCAUAAGCCAGCUUGACUGCGAGCGUGACGGCGCGAGCAGGUGCGAAAGCAGGUCAUAGUGAUCCGGUGGUUCUGAAUGGAAGGGCCAUCGCUCAACGGAUAAAAGGUACUCCGGGGAUAACAGGCUGAUACCGCCCAAGAGUUCAUAUCGACGGCGGUGUUUGGCACCUCGAUGUCGGCUCAUCACAUCCUGGGGCUGAAGUAGGUCCCAAGGGUAUGGCUGUUCGCCAUUUAAAGUGGUACGCGAGCUGGGUUUAGAACGUCGUGAGACAGUUCGGUCCCUAUCUGCCGUGGGCGCUGGAAGAUUGAGGGGGGCUGCUCCUAGUACGAGAGGACCGGAGUGGACGCAUCACUGGUGUUCGGGUUGUCAUGCCAAUGGCACUGCCCGGUAGCUACAUGCGGAAGAGAUAAGUGCUGAAAGCAUCUAAGCACGAAACUUGCCCCGAGAUGAAUCUUCCCUGAGCCUUUAAGGCUCCUGAAGGAACGUUGAAGACGACGACGUUGAUAGGCCGGGUGUGUAAGCGCAGCGAUGCGUUGAGCUAACCGGUACUAAUGAACCGUGAGGCUUAACCUUACAACGCCGAAG
RNAcentral lists this ribosomal RNA (1361 nucleotides) under Salmonella enterica. Its description in RNAcentral is "partial 23S ribosomal RNA". It matches the Rfam family "Bacterial large subunit ribosomal RNA", at positions 1600 to 2925 of the family's 2925-position model. RNAcentral also lists the same sequence under 1 other name. Lineage: Bacteria; Pseudomonadati; Pseudomonadota; Gammaproteobacteria; Enterobacterales; Enterobacteriaceae. The record is from RNAcentral.